GACGUAGGGGGCGAGCGUUGCCCGGAAUUACUGGGUGUAAAGGGGACGUAGGUGGGUGAUCAAGUCAUCUGUGAAAAGAUUGCUCAACGAUCGGCUUGCGGAUGAAACUGAUCAUCUUGGGCGUAGCAGAGGUAGACGGAAUUACCUGAGUAGGGGUGAAAUCCGCAGAUACAGGUAAGAACGCCGGUGAAGAAGUUGGUCUACUGGGCUACAGCUGACGCUGAGGUGCGAGAGCGUGGGGAGCAAACAGG
RNAcentral lists this ribosomal RNA (251 nucleotides) under uncultured microorganism. RNAcentral's name for it is "partial 16S ribosomal RNA". It matches the Rfam family "Bacterial small subunit ribosomal RNA", at positions 524 to 776 of the family's 1533-position model. The record is from RNAcentral.